Molecule: ribosomal RNA, 428 nt
Filed under: uncultured bacterium
Lineage: Bacteria
Description: bacterial SSU rRNA
Rfam family: Bacterial small subunit ribosomal RNA
Source: RNAcentral
GUUAGGAAUAUUGCACAAUGGGCGAAAGCCUGAUGCAGCGACGCCGCGUGAGUGAAGAAGGCCUUCGGGUUGUAAAGCUCUUUUAGCAGGGAAAACAAAAAUGAUGGUACCUGCAGAAAAAGCACCGGCUAACCCUGUGCCAGCAGCCGCGGUAAUACAGGGGGUGCAAGCGUUACUCGGAAUUACUGGGCGUAAAGCGCGUGUAGGUGGUCUCAUAAGUCUGGUGUGAAAUCCCGGGGCUCAACCCCGGAAGUGCAUUGGAUACUGCGAGACUAGAGUGCAGGAGAGGAUGGUGGAAUUCCAGGUGUAGAGGUGAAAUUCGUAGAUAUCUGGAGGAACAUCGGAGGCGAAGGCGACCAUCUGGACUGCAACUGACACUGAGACGCGAAAGCGUGGGGAGCAAACAGGAUUAGAAACCCGGGUAGUCC